Molecule: ribosomal RNA, 1467 nt
Filed under: uncultured Bordetella sp.
Lineage: Bacteria; Pseudomonadati; Pseudomonadota; Betaproteobacteria; Burkholderiales; Alcaligenaceae
Description: partial 16S-23S ribosomal RNA intergenic spacer
Rfam family: Bacterial small subunit ribosomal RNA
Source: RNAcentral
CAAGGGCAUCAGUAGUAACAGAGAGUUCGAUUCUGGCUCCAGAUUGGAACGCUGGCGGGAUGCUUUACACAUGCAGUCGAACGGCAGCACGGACUUCGGUCUGGUGGCGAGUGGCGAACAAUUGAGUAAUGUAUCGGAACGUGCCAGUAGCAGCGAAUAACCACGCGGAAAGACGGUAACCACCGCACCGCCCUUCGGAAAGCAGCGGGACCUUCCGGGCCUCGCUUUAUUGGGCGAGCGAUAUCAGUUUAUUCGUGAAGAACGGCCUCACCGGCGUUUCGAUCCGUAGCAUGGGUUUGGGUUGACCAGCCACUGGACGGUUGCGGCUGAUUUCUACAACGGGCAGCGUCAGGAUUACAGACUGACAGAACUGAUAGCCAUCCCUGAUGGUCGUACAAGGCCUCGGGUUUAUCAAGCAACACGGCAGAAGAAGCGGUACGCGGAUGCCGACAACAGCGGCACCUGCGAUAAAGCACCGAUAACACCGUGCCCUGCGCCACCAGUGUCGUCACGGCUGGCGUUAAUCGGAAUACUGGGCGUAAAGCGUGCGCAGGCUGGUUCGGAAAGAAAGAUCUUGAAAUCCCGGAGCUUAACUUUGGAACUGCAUUUUUAACUACCGAGCUAGAGUGUGUCAGAGGUGGAAUUUCCGCGAUGUAGCAGUGAAAUGCGUAGAUAUGCGGAGGAACACCGAUGGCGAAGGCAACCUCCUGGGAUAACGCGACGCUCAUGCACGGCGUGGGGAGCAAACGGGAUUAGAUACCCUGGUAGUCCACGCCCUAAACGAUGUCAACUAGCUGUUGGGGCCUUCGGGCCUUGGUAGCGCAGCUAACGCGUGAAGUUGACCGCCUGGGGAGUACGGUCGCAAGAUUAAAACUCAAAGGAAUUGACGAGAUCCCGCACAAGCGGUGGAUGAUGUGGAUUAAUUCGAUGCAACGCGAAAGAGCGCCUACCCUCGACAUGUCUGGAAUCCCGAAGAGAUUUGGGAGUGCUCGCAAGAGAACCGGAACACAGGUGCUGCAUGGCUGUCGUCAGCUCGUGUCGUGAGAUGUUGGGUUAAGUCCGCAACGAGCGCAACCCUUGUCAUUAGUUGCUACGAAAGGGCACUCUAAUGAGACUGCCGGUGACAAACCGGAGGAAGGUGGGGAUGACGUCAAGUCCUCAUGGCCCUUAUGGGUAGGGCUUCACACGUCAUACAAUGGUCGAGACAGAGGGUCGCCAACCCGCGAGGGGGAGCCAAUCCCAGAAACCCGAUCGUAGUCCGGAUCGCAGUCUGCAGCUCGACUGCGUGAAGUCAGAUCGCUAGUAAUCAUGGAUCAGCAUGUCGCAGUGAAUACGUUCCCGGGUCUUGUACACACACCGCCCGUCACACCAUGGGAGUGGGUUUUACCAGAAGUAGUUAGCCUAACCGUAAGGAGGGCGAUUACCACGGUAGGAUUCAUGACUGGGGUGAAGUCGUAACAAAGGUAG